AAAACAGUUUUGCAACCCUCUUUCAUAACAUCUAACUGCUCUUUAGUUUGAAAACCAACAAUAAAUAGUUCUGCACUGUUUUUUAUGCAAUCAAAGUUAGGAUGCCCAACUACCACUGGUUUGCCCUGAGGUCUCUGAUUUGGGUCCCUAUUGCCCAGCUCACCAACAUCACCUCUCAAAAGCUCAAGAAUUUUUGCUGGCGCCAUACCAGUGAUCAAACAAGAUUGAAUAAAGUGUCUUGUGGUGAGCUGAACCCUAUGCAAAACAGUAUGGUGAAAAAUUAAAGGAUGGUUGAGCAUCAAAUUGGCAUGUAAAGUAGCGAUACUUAGAAGUGCCCUCUUCAUUGCACUUAGCUCCAUAAGGAGCUCUAAAGCAGGUCCAUGACUCUGCCUCAACUUCAUCCUUCCAAGCUGUAAACUCAGCCAUUGUUUUGAAUGACAUCUGCCUAAUUUUGAACUCCUUCUGAUGAUCCUUGAUAAGUGUAAAACCCUCGGCUGUGCACUCAACUUUCUUGUGACGGGAAAACUCUUGUUUGGUUGAGAACUGGUUGUGGCAUUUUUCGCAUUCUCUGGGGUAAACAACUUUUGGUCUCAUAGCAUUCAAUUCGGUGUCCCCACCACCAUUACACUUCUUUUUAUGCCGACAAAAUUGGACUUUGUUCUCUAAAACAAGCGCACACCUAUCACACUUCCUUGGGUACAUGGAAACUUUCUUCUCUUUAGUACAGCUCUUCUGAUGCUUAUAAUAACUCUGCCUAGUCGAAUACAUUUGACCGCACUCACACUGUCGAGGGUACUUGGAACCAGGUGGAAUCAAGUCAUCGUCUGAAGAGUCCUGAAGCUCUACGGACUCUUCCACUUCUGCUACAUCACUCCUAUUUAUUUCCUCGUUUUCCAUCUUGCCCUAUCAAUGUACUCAAGAUAUUAUAUUACUGACUAAUGCUUUAAAUAUUAACAAAGACUAGUUGAAGACUGUUUAGCGAUCGAAGGAAUCACUUGAAAACUGUGUUCCAUUGUUGAAGUAUGAAAUAUACAUACUAAAUUACCAAAACAAAAACUUUUUAUCAAUUCUAAUCCUUUUUCAUGCACACCUAUGGUUCGAAACUAACUAUUAAUUGUUGGAAAGUCAGCAUAGCAACAGAACAGGUGCACCUAGCCUAGACGCCUAACUGCUAUGGCGCAGCGGGGGGUCCCGACUCGUAUUUCACUUACUUUUUAUAACGCCCUGACCACAAAUUCCACAUGGAAUAAUACUUGAUGAAAUUAAGGGAGAAGGUUAGCUUUAAUGCCACAAAAGGAUACCAGAAGUCUUCUUCGAUCAGUAACGCGCCAAAUCGAACAGCCGAUCGGCUCAAUCCAGUGAACGGGCUGGGGUCAUUGACCUUAGUUUGGACAGCAGUGUUGCCGAUGACCGGCCAUCACCGGCUCGACAAUGGGGCAAUCAUAGUGUCCUACGUAAAGCAGUGUUCUCAGCCCGAAUUUGGCCAUGGAAAAGAUAUUCUUAGAGAAGGAAAAAUAAAACCUUCAUCCAUGAUGAAACAUAAGAAUCUUAUCAGGUUUACGUUCCAGUUUCUAAUUUAACCUGAGUGGGCGUGGCUUGGCAGGGAAGGAACCAAUGGGCGUGGCUUGGCAGGGAGGGAGCCAAUAGGCGUGGCUUUACAGAGAGCGGCAAAUUCAAAACAGUUUCUUCUCACUAGAUAGGUUGGGUGGGUACAUGGUGAGCAUUUUCUACUUCUCAUCAGGGCGUCGAAAUGUAAAAUGACCUAGAAAAUUAAUUAAAUCCAAGAAUGUUAGAGACCAUUACUUUCAGCUUUAUUUAAGAGUUAUUAGCACUCAUUUACAGAGGUUUUCACUCUCAUGAAGAGAUUGGCUUUCUGAUAUUAUUUGAGUUACAACACCCCAUUUUUAAAAAAUUCCAAAUUUGUGCAUUUUUACAAAUCCCUUUUGCUGACAUGCUCGCUAGACUCCUUUGUAUCCCCUCUGUGAAUUAAGGUGUGUUAAGAAACAAGUAGACUUUUCUAUUAAAAGAAAAUCAGGUUUGCUGUUGUACAGCGAGCAACAUGCCCCAAAAUAUGAUUUUUUCUCUCCAAAUUUCAAAAACAGCUGUCAUAAGUUUAGUUCGUUUUCACUUUCACCCACAAUAUAAUGUAAUUUUAAUUGUAAAACUGUAUUGGUAAACAUUUUGUGUCAGGUAUGAGGAAUGAAACAAUCUUUGCUUUAUGAUUCUAUUUAUUGAAAACUACAAGUAACAAACAAAAAUACUGAGUAUUUAGGGAAUUUAACAAAUCAUGAUAAAAACAAAUCUUUUCAUCUUGACGGGGAUUCACCACAAAGAUUGCUUUGCUGUGACCUCAAAUGCAGCAGGAGGGUAGCUUCGAAAAGUUUCAGAUUAGUACUGCCAAAAAACAAAAACUGAGUUAACAAACAUGUACUGUGAAAAGAAAAUGUACUAAAAGAAUUUUACUUCAUGAUCUCUCUGCAUUUACACAGGGUUGAGACUGUCAUCCAAACAAAGUUCACAUACUUCAAAAGGCUGAUGCACCUGAACAUUGUUUGGAGCCUGCAUUAAAAUUUGGAAAAACCGUGCAGCAAUUUAGGCUGCAUUUAGUUGUCGGCAAUAGUAUUUAUGGUUGGGUUACCACUAGCUACCAAUAAGUAAUCAGUUGGAAAUGAUCAAGCUGAGCAAGAUUGGAAGCUCUGCUAUUAAAAGGAUUCUCAUGUUGCCAAUAAGUAGGCAUGCAUAAGCAAAAAGAAAGCACCUGUUGGCCGUCACUAGUAAAGAAUUUCCAAAGGAAGGUGCACAAUUUACUGAAAACUUAUUGGCAAAAAAUAAGCAAAAUCCAGUAGAAAGAUCAUUAGGAGCUGUACCAAAUGGCUCUAGCUUUUCUAAUAAUCAAUCUCUCAGAAGAUUACUUAGAACAGUCAGAACAUACACAACAUGACCAGAGAGACUAAUUAAAUUAACAAUACCAAAUUUCCAAACAACCCACAAGCUACAACUGACUGGAUG
Thrips palmi is the source of this 3009-nucleotide long non-coding RNA. RefSeq lists it as uncharacterized. Lineage: Eukaryota; Metazoa; Arthropoda; Insecta; Thysanoptera; Thripidae. The record is from RefSeq and is a predicted model, not a curated record. The transcript has 4 exons.